UACAGAGGUCCCAAGCGUUGUUCGGAUUUACUGGGCGUAAAGGGUGCGUAGGCGGCGGGGAAAGUUUAAGGUGAAAUCUCCAGGCUCAACUUGGAAAAUGCCUCGAAUACUUCCCUGCUUGAGGGUCGCAGAGGAGAUUGGAAUUCUCGGUGUAGCAGUGAAAUGCGUAGAUAUCGAGAGGAACAUCAGUGGCGAAAGCGAAUCUCUGGGCGACUCCUGACGCUGAGGCACGAAAGCCAGGGGAGCAAACGGG
Molecule: ribosomal RNA, 253 nt
Filed under: uncultured bacterium
Lineage: Bacteria
Description: partial 16S ribosomal RNA
Rfam family: Bacterial small subunit ribosomal RNA
Source: RNAcentral